Molecule: unclassified non-coding RNA, 260 nt
Filed under: Hevea brasiliensis (rubber tree)
Lineage: Eukaryota; Viridiplantae; Streptophyta; Magnoliopsida; Malpighiales; Euphorbiaceae
Source: RNAcentral
UGUGAUUAGGGAAACCAUAGCUUCUUCUGCGUCUAUGUCAAUGCAGGUGACUGGACCAUCCCCAUUCGUUUCCCUGAAUACAAAUCUCACACGUGACACGACUAGAAUAAAAUUUUCAAAUAAUCUGUCCAGCGACAUGGGCCACUUCAUUAGCUAUUUCAGCAGCACAAUCAAGUUUUGUGUUGUUUAACACCAAUGAUGCAAAUCAUCCAAAACUGUUUCCAUCUGUACAGAUUCUAGGGAUAACUCUAGAAGGAUUA